UGAAAACAGGUUCCAACAACCCUAGUAAGGCCUGGUACAUAUGUAGCCUGUGGACUGCCCACUCUUUCCUCAGUCCCCCCUCCUUUUAAAACAAGAAGCCACUGUUCUCAUUCUAAACAUUUCCACAAACACACGGCCAAGUAAGUAAUCUCCUUUAUCAUUACUAAAAACACGCGCAUCAUUUCUUUAGUCGCAUUUUCCGCGUUUGUCCCCUUGGUUCUUUCUCUUCCCUAUUUGUGCAAGAAAUGCAGAUGCAAGGGUCCCCCACCCACCCCACUGUCCCACCACCCCAUAUUCUGGCUCUUUUGAUCGGAUUGCUGAAUCUCCCCCCCCCAAAAAAGACCCUUUGAAUGACUUGUUAGGAUAUUGCAACAGCCUUGCUGAAGUUAUAAAUGUUUGCCAUAUGGCAACUCAAGGACUUUGCCGCUUCCCAGUUCACCCCUGUUGUCACUUCACUGGAGUCCGUCCAGGGAUGAAAUCAGUGCUAUUUUUUAAAUGCCUGAACACCAGCAACAUUAAUCUUUCAAGAAGCUAGCCCAUACUUUAAGGAGAUGAAUAGUUAUCUCCCGGCAGUGAUGCCGCCGCAGUCUCUUUCUGACCUCUGGGCUCUGCUUUUGUCCUAGUAAGGGAGCCCCAAGGGUAGGGCCAGUGAGCUGCAAGUCCUGGGUUUAGGAUGUCCUCUGGCAGCAAUCACACAAGUGACAUUAUUAACAUGCCCAGCAGAGGACUGAACUUGGCACGUCAAUUUCUUAUUUGAAUUAAUUCCCAGGCAGGCUCCAUUUAUGACCUUUAUUGCAACCACAUUAUGGCAAUGCAAUGGUUGUUCGGGACAUUCUCUAUAUUCUGGGUUGCUAAGGACAUAGGCAGAGGCAAAUGGAAGAGAACAGGCUUCUGCUCUAAAACAAAACUUAAAGCAGGAAAUGCUUCUAGACAGAUAAAUCAAGAUUUUUUUUCCGGUCAACUCCAAUAAGGGAACAGGGUGUUUCCAUGGCUAAGGGAAAAGCCUUCACUAAGCCAAAAAGAAAAAAAGAUGUAGGUGGUGGGGGGAUAGAGAGAGGGGAAAAGAAGUUGAGUAUUCACUACUUGAGCAUCUGUGUCACUGAGCCGUCUAGUAAUGUUGGCACCACAAAGGAAAUGAAAUGACAAACAAAGAGUAGACUGAAAGAUUAUGAAAGACCACUGGCAUGUCUUGCAACUCCCACAUGAAUGGAAAUGUGCUUCUUAGAGAAUUAGACACCCCUCUCCUUGUGUAUGUUUCCUUAAUUCCCAUUCACACACAAUUCGGACUGAGAAGAUACAGUCAGCGAGAGGCAAGCAUUCUCCAAUAGCCCACCGAUUUCCAGAAACAUAUGCAGGAACUCAUAUAAAAGCCGUCAAACCGGCCAUGAUUGCUAGGACUGACAGUGCUGAUGGCAGACAUAUUUUUGUCCUACAGUUUCUUUAAUACUUCCAUGGUGCCUUUCCUAAUGGGAGAAAGAGACAGCUGUUGCCAACCUCAAACCUUUAAAGUCUGGAGUCAAAUAUUUCAGGUCAUGAAAUGCAUUAAAAACGUCGUAGGAUUUUUGUUUUUAAAAGAUCUCUCUCUCCCCCCUCCCCUUUGUGUGUAUUAUUCUAUCUAUACAGAAAUGCAAUAUGAUUGCUACAUUUCUGUUGGAAAGGGGUAGGAAAAAGCGUUUGCUUCAGUCAAUAAUAUGUAUUAUAUACUAUGUAUAUAUUAUAUGAUGGCAUGAUUGUAAAUUUACAUGAGACAAUUCACAAAUCAAUAAACUAUUACGAUUACUACUGCUAGAAAAUGAUGUAACUAGAUCAGUGUUCAUAAAGGCUACUACUUUUUAAUAGUUUGGAAGGUAGGUAGCUUCUCAGUGGUUGAAAUUUAGAAUUAGUAUAUGAAUGGCAAAACUGCCACAUGGCUAUUAUUUACCCAGAGGGCUUCUUUUUCAAUAGUUUGAUGACCGAUCUUCAACUUAAGUGUAUUUGCUGCUCUAACUCCUCCUUACUCCUUUGCCGCCUUGGUUUAUUAACAGUUUUGACUUGGAAUUGUUAUAUUUAUAUACCACCCAGUGACAACAUGGGUCCUUCGCAGUUCACGACUGACCUGCUGGGAGCCUGAGGGCCCUGCCCUACGUCUCUCCCCCUGGCUUGGGGUGGGGCCUGGCGGGCUCCAUAAAGGACUGCUGCUGCUGCUUGACACAGAUGGAUCUUUUUAAAAAUCAUUUUUAUUUUUUAUCUAUGUCAUUCUAAAUUGUUAUUGAUAUUAAUGCUGUAUUUUUUGGUUUUAGAUUUUAUGAUUUAUGUGGGAAUUGUUUUCCAUUUGGUUGUGUUCCUUUUGAUUGUGCUUCAUUUAUUCGUUGUUUAUGACUUUUGUUAUGUUGGUAAUUACGUAAAUCCUGUAAUGAUGUAAGCCGCUUUGAGCAUUGUUUUAACUAAGGAAAGGGGGCAUACAAAUAAAAAAAUGAUGAUGAUAAAUGCAGCCAACAAUCAAUGCACUGCAGGAAAACAUGCCAAUCAUAAUAAAACCAGCAAGAAAGCAGGAGUUUGAACACAUUAAGAAGAGAGAGACCUUUAAAGACCUGGGGAAACAAAGUCUUACCCUGAUGCUCAAUGGAAAACAGGAGGUGGGAGCUCAGCUUCCCUUGGACUCCAUAAGUGGGGCACCACCACUGAAAAGGCCCUGACCACAGAGGAGACCCCUGAGGUGGAGUCAGCUGAGUAGUCUGCCCAUGACAGGUCAAAUAUCAGGCAGGCCACAGGCCACUUCCCUGACCCACACAAGACCCAUUUGGCAGUUGCGCUAGCCUGGGAAAACCCUCCAAUAGCUGCUUCCUGGCUGGACCAUGGGGGGCCUGAGGCGUCGUACUGGAAAAGUGCCCAACCAUUGAAGAUUAAUAAUAAUAAUAAUAAUAAUAAUAAUAAUAAUUUAUUAUUAUUCAUACCCCGCCAUCUGGCUGGGUUUCCCCAGCCACUCUGGGUAGCUUCCUACAAAAUAUUAAAAUACAGUAGUCCAUCAAACAUUAAAAGUUUCCCUAAACAGGGCUGCCUUCAGAUGUCAGAUAAGCACACUUAGGGUACGAUAAAAAAAGGAAAUGUAAAAAAUGCCAGUCACAUGUAUAAGAAAUUUAAUACAAAUAAUAGUAAUGGUAAUAAUAAGAUGAAGACAAAGUUAGCCUUUCCCUUUAUAAACAGGAAAAGCUAUUUUUUAAUCGUCUAUUAUUCUUUGUAAUCAAUAAUUUAUUCUGCAAUAAUAUUAGUUUAAUAAUGCACAUCUGUAUUCAUGCAGCAAAAUGCUUUGCUGGAAGUAGACUUAAUAAUAUAUGUAGAAAUUGGACAAGAGGAGCAGAUGAAAUCCACAGCAGACUUUGCCUGGGAAUACACCAUGGACAGAAUCUGCUUGAACUGCUCAUACGCCUUGAUGGGUUCUAAAUUAAAUGUAGCCACUCAGGAAAAAGGAGCUAGGCAUUGGUGUAGACAGCUUGAUGAAAGCACCUGCUGAAGGCCCAGCAGCAGUCAAAAAAGCAAACAACAUGUUGGGCUGGAUUAAGAGACAGCUCAGCUGGUAAGAAAAAUACCAUAAUAUAUCUUCAAAAAUAGCCUUAACUGGUGUCUCUCUCCCCACACCCCUUCCCCAAGGAAGGAGAAAAACCAAAGAGAAAAGAUGAGGGGGAAGGAGGGGGAGAGCUUAUUAAAACAAAACACCAUUCCCUUUUUAAAAAAGAGAAAUGAAAAUACAAACUCUACUUUAAAAAGUUUGAGAUGUGUCAUAGCACUGGACAAUGAAAAGUACUCUUGGCUAGCACGAAUGAAUUCAAGCAGCAUGGAAUUUGAAUGUGCCAGGGGCUGCCAACUUGGGUUAUGAACAUGUGGGCAGGGAACUAAGUGUGGUGAGGAUGAUGGUGAAAAUUCUGCAGUGGAGUUUGAUGGGCAUGGAUACAGGAUUCUUGCCUAUGAAGCUCAUCAGGUAUACAGUGGUACCUCUAGAUGGGAACGGGAUCCAUUCCGGAGCCCCGUUCGCAUCUAGAAGCAAACAUAACCCAUGUCCGCACGUCUGCGCGUGCACAGGUCACGUUUCAGCGCAUCUUCACAUGCGCGUGACGUCAUUUUGAGCGCCUGCACAUGCGCAAGCCGCGAAACCCGAAAGUAACACGCUCCGUUACUUCCGGGUUGCCACGGAGUGCAACUCGAAUGCGCUCAUCCCGAAGCACAUUGAACCCGAGGUAUGACUGUACUGGUUUGCGCUGAUGGAAGGGUAAAUAUAAUAAGAACAAUGAAGCACUUGGGCUACCUUUUGAAAGCCAACAACAACAGCAGCAGCAGCAGCAGCAGCAGCUGGGAGGUGCCAGCACCUUUUUGGUUCAACCACAGCGUUUCUCCAAUAUUUAUGUUUGUAUGUAUGUAUCUGGGAUGCGGGUGGCGCUGUGGUCUAAACCACAGAGCCUAGGGCUUGCCAAUCAGAAGGUCGAUGGUUCGAAUCCCUGCGACGGGGUGAGCUCCCAUUGCUUGGUCCCUGCUCCUGCCAACCUAGCAGUUCGAAAGCACGUCAAAGUGCAAGUAGAUAAAUAGGUACCACUCCGGCGGGAAGGUAAACGGCGUUUCCGUGCGCUGCUCUGGUUCGCCAGAAGCGGCUUAGUCAUGCUGGUCACACGACCUGGAAGCUGUCUGCGGACAAAAGGUGGUUCCCUCGCCUAAUAAAGCGAGAUGAGCGCGGAACCCCAGAGUCGUCUGCGACUGGACUUAACGGUCAGGGCUACCUUUACCUGUAUGUAUGUAUGUAUGUAUGUAUGUAUGUAUGGACUGGAUUUUAAUUGUCCUCUUCAGCCGAAAAGGAUCCCAGAACAGCUUGCAAUGAUAACUAAUAAGCCAGGAAAUCACCUCAGGCUUACAAUCUAAGGAAAAGUGAUGGAUAGGGAGGAGGAAUAGGAGGAAUAGGAGGAAUUUUGGCACUACUUCUCAGAUGCAUCAGUAUUUACCAAGGAAGUUGAUCGAGGGGAACACACGUAAAACAUACAGUAAGCAAAGUGAAGCAAAACAAAAUACAACCUCCCCACCUUCAAUAACAGGAGAAAAGAAACCCAGUGGGUUUUAUUGAAUAUAUUAUUUAAUGUAGCACAGCAGUGUGGAAUUCUAGAUCCUGUGAGAUACUUGGGAGAAACUGUGGCCUUCCAGAUGUUGCUGGGUUAAAACUCCCACCAUUCCUGACCAUUGACCAUGCUGCUUGGGGCUGAUGGGAGCUGAAAUCCUGCAACUUCAAGGGGGGGGGGCACAGAUUCCCCACUCCUGCUUUAAGCAUGUGAAAGCUGUUUCUCCAUGAGGAGAUCCGGAGGGCCUGAAUAACCCAGAAUAACCCACCAGCAUGGGUGGGGCCAGUUUUUCUUUGGGAAUUGGCUUCCUCCCUCUGGGUGGGGUGUUGAUUUCCAGGAAAAGGCCCGUGUAAUAAUCAGCCUUGCCCAGAUGUUUGCAUCUUGCAGAUGCGGCCCCAGCAUCAUGAGAAUCUUUUGCAGACAACAGUUUUCACGUGGCUGGGCUGUAAACAGCACUUUCCUUACUCAUGGGCAAGAGGUUGAAAUUGGUUCUAUCUGACCCCCUUUCUGGUUCACCAACUUUAACCUGCCCAAGGACCAAAGGAAUUCAUGGCUAGAUCUCAUAAUUUCAAUGGGAGGUUCUGCUGGGCUUCCAUGGGCAGGGGUUAUCAAAAGGUCCCAUGUCCAGGCUCCUUGUCCCUUUCUCUUCCUGCACACAAAUCGUGUCCUCCCUAGAAGAGGACGUGUUGUGGUGAGACCUGGAGACUGACCUCCUGGUUGUGGGUGGGUCUAUUGGAUAGCCACAACACCCGAUUGGUAGAUCCCCCGCUGCUGGGUUUAAUCUGGCCAAUGGGGUGCAGUCUAAACGGAUCAAGGGACCUAUAUAAACCCAUGCACAUGUCCCAGAGCUUCCUCUUUCGCUCAUGCAUUGGAACACCCGCCCACCUCUCCCUAAUUUAAAGGCGUAUUGCGAUUGACCUUGCUAUGCCGUCAUGUGUCGUCUGUCUUUGGGACAGGGGCAUGGCAGGAAUUUCCCCCACUUGGCUGAUUGGCUGCUGCCAUUGGGUUUUGCCUGCCGCGUAGCAAAUUGUCACAACUUGUAAGGUUGUACCCACCCACAACACAGGGUUUGGUUGUCAGGUCGCACUGCAACACGUCCCCUCUUUGAGGGAGGACACGAUCUGCAGCAAGCACUGUAACCCUCCAGUGAUUUGACGUUGCCCCCAAAGGGUCCCUCUUCCACUGUCUCCUGAGAGAGGUUGAUGCCAGCAACCAACAACAACAUUACAGUCCCACAAUGGUGGGGUAACAGUGGCUGGCAGAAAUAUUGCACUCUAGGUGAUCAGUCGGUGACGGAGGGAAAUUUUAUAAGCCUAGCAACCCCUCUGGAGGCGAAACAGGACUGUCUUUGUUCUAUCCAGGGAGAAGCAUUUCUGCAACACCCACAUGGUUAGCACCCAAGAGAAACCGCAUCAUAUGCUACUGCUGAAGCUGAGAUGGAAGAUAUUAAAUAAAAACAAACAAACACACAAAUAACAACACAACUGUUAUUGCCAUCACAUCACAUUUCAAUGUGCAAGUGGGACUACAGAGAUGAUGAUAGCUGUAGGAUAUUUAUAUCUCCCAGAAAUCUCUCACAAAUUGAAAGAGGAUGUGUGUGUGUUUUGCUGAGGCUCCAAGAGGUGCUGUAAAACCUCUUUGCCUCUGAUGGGGAUGGUGUUACCGUAACAGGCAAGGAAGCAGAGUCCUCCAAUUAUUUGGGUUUUAAUUCAAACUGGAAAGUAUCCACAGGAGGACUGCAGUAUCUGAAGGUUCUGAGAGAGGCACUACAAGAUGGGGGGGGGAGAGAAUGUUUAUGCUAUCGCACAUUGUGCAUCAAUUAAAUAUAAUCUGAGCAAAGCACAACUGGUGGCUACAGACAUAAAAAUAGCCUUAAUAUUUCAACGCCUCUGUUGCUUUGUGCAUCCAGGUUCUUAGAAAGGUGGCUGCAAAUGAUUAUUUCCCUUAGCAAGUUCACAUGGAGUUGUUUGCUCAGUUUAAUAAUAGUCUAUCUUGUUCAGGGUGAACAAACUGGUCCCGGGAGGGGUAGUGGGGUGGGGGAGGCAGUAAUAAAUCAAUAGCCCAGAUGUAAUCUUAGGUGUCUAGAAUGCAGAGAGGGAUUUUGGAGCAUAAUGGCAGUGGUUGUCUAUUGUCAUUCAGACAUGAGCUGCAUCAGAAAAGGGCUUGUGGGAACUAGAUAAGGGUUGGUCAAAAGUGGGCUAUAAAUCAAACAGAGGCAGGAUUCUGCUGAUUUCCCGCGCACGCUCGCUGGGAAGGGAGGGGGGCAGUGAUAGAUCUGCAAUUUACUGCUUAUCGCAUCUGCUGGAAGUUUCAUAAUACAAAAGCCUGACCUUCAAUGAAUAAACACCCUCAUUGACUACCUGUUUCUGGCUGCUAUAUAUAUAUAUAUAUAUAUAUAUAUAUAUAUAUAUAUAUAUAUGACAUUACUCUAUGCUCAUUGCAGAGAGCUGCUGAAAAAUAGAAGACAAGCAGCGCUAUGAAAAUGAUGUGACAUCUUUUUGGGCUUAACAAGCUCUCGCCUGUCGCUAGCAGCUGUCACUUCAGCUACGUGUAGUCACUUUGCCAUCAAAAUGCGCAGAAUUUAUUGAAAGGAACUAGAUACUUAUUCAACAGGACUAAAAGGUCUACGGGGAGAAAACAGCCGCUCAGCCACUAAAAGUGUGCAGAGCAGGAGGUCAGGCUCUUUUAAAACACUCUCGUGUGAAUAGCCCUCUUCCCUUUUAAGUGGGGAAGAGGCCUUUGUUCUGUCAUCCUUUGGUUGUGAGAAAAUUCAAAACAGCUUCACCACUGGAGGAGGAGGCACUGGAGUCUUGGCUGAUAUAGCGUAGUGACUAAGAGCCCGAGUGAUGGACCAGAAAGACCCUUGCCUCUGUUACAAUACAUUUUGUUUUAUUUACUUAAUUUGAUUACACGUAUACCCAAGGAGCUUGAGAAAAUAAGCACCUCCCUCAAAACAACGCUGUGAGGCAGGUUAGUCUGUGAAAUGGUAACUGGCUGAAGGUCAACCUGUGGUUUUUCAUGGCUAAGGGAAGAUUUGAAUUGGGGUAUCUCCAGAUCCUCCAUUCUGAAGGAAAUCAGCCCUGAGUGCUCACUGGAAGGACAGAUCCUGAAGCUGAGGCUCCAAUACUUUGGCCACCUCAUGAGAAGAGAAGACUCCCUGGAAAAGACCCUGAUGCUGGGAAAGAUGGAGGGCACAAGGAGAAGGGGACAACAGAGGAUGAGAUGGUUGGACAGUGUUCUCGAAGCUACCAGCAUGAGUUUGACCAAACUGUGGGAGGCAGUGGAAGACAGGAGUGCCUGGCGUGCUCUGGUCCAUGGGGUCACGAAGAGUCGGACACGACUAAGCGACUAAACAACAACAACAUCUCCAGGUCCAGCCCAACAUUUACUGCUAAAGUUUCUAAGCUGCUUUAGGCUGGUCACUAUCUCUCACCCUCAGCGUCUCCUUUCCAAAACAAAAAGAAACCAAAACUCAUUAAAAUAAUUUGGCAUUACAGUGUGAGUUUCUAUUAAUUUUCCUACACAGUUUGACUACUGUAUACAUCUUCUGCAAGCAAUUUCCCCCAGUAUAAUACGUUUUUGUCUGCUAUUACAAUUCCCAGAGUGAGUGAAUACCUCUUCCCGGGGCACUCUGACAAUUGCAGCUCUAUAAGAUGAAGAAGAAGAGUUUGGAUUUGAUAUCCCGCUUUAUCACUACCCUAAGGAGUCUCCAAGUGGCUAACAAUCUCCUUUCCCUUCCUCCCCCACAACAAACACUCCGUGUGGUGAGUGAGAUUGAGAGACUUCAGAGAAGUGUGACUAGCCCAAGGUCACCCAGCAGCUGCAUGUGGAGGAGUGGGGAAGCGAACCCGGUUCACCAGAUUACGAGUCCACCGCUCUUAACCACUACACCACAACAACCCUAAUCACCCUUAAACUACAGUUCUCAGGAUUCUUUCGGGGGAAGCCAUGACUUCCCCCAAAUGGUGUGAUACUGCUCUAAAUGUAAGGUGCAGAUCUGACCCUUUCAGAAGAAGUGCUCUUAUGCCACCAGGUUUCAGCGUCUUGUGUUAUGUAGGUUUUGGGUCACUGCUUGUUGAUUCAACAGCAUAACAUCUUGAGCUGUUCAACGCUUCUUCCUUUUUAGCAGUUUUCACUACUGUGUUGUCCUGCAGCCGUUCUCCCAAAACAAGAGCUCAGCUGGCUUUACCAUUUGGCAUGCUGCAUGGAUUUUAAAAACAAACUAUAAAACAGAUGGCGGAAAUACUGAUUAAUCUGUUUAGGAAAUGCAGGUUGUAUAUACAUGUAUAUUAAAGAAGGAGAGACUUAGCAACACUGUUCAGCUGAACCACAAAAUAUGGAUUGGCAUACAAUCGUAAAUAUGAAUGGGAUGUGCUGUAUCUUAUUUAUUUAUUUAGCAAAACCUAUGUACUGCUUCAUGAAGAAAACCUCUAAGUGUUUUUCCCCCCUCCAAAGUUGCAGGGAAGAAAAGAAGAUUGAUGUGUGCUAUCUGGGUAAUGUUCUGCAGGAUGAAAUUUUAUCAAAAUUUUAAGAAACGGUGAGAAGUACAAAAGUUUUUAGCAGCAUUUAGCCAAAAUCUGGAUGCAGUUGCUAUUUUGGGAACCUUGCACAGGAUUAGUGGUUGUGCUGCCUGUUAUAUUUUGUAUCUAAGUCUGUUUGUUUUCAAUAGACUCUGCUUGUAUAUUAGCAUAUAAACAUAUAUUACAAAGACACUAUAAAUCAUCCAACGGAAACGAAAUCCUUCAUUCCCAUCCUAGACUUCUCACUAUUUAGAGAAGAGGGGAAUAUUUUUGUAUUAUAGACUGCGGUCUCCUGCUAUGCAGUCUUUGUGCUAAUUUUUGCUUAACACAGGUAAAAUUAAUGAAUGCCCCCUCUCACCCUGCCAAUUCCACCAUGUCUCUCAUUGCUACAUACAUGUAUUUUCUUCCUUUCCUCCAGCAACCAUUGGAUGUCCUACCCACAAUCCAGCCAGGAUACCUCUCCUUCCCUCACUUGCCCUGCAGGCCCAGAGUUCUGUCCUGACUUCUUCAGUUUCUUACAAAUGUCCCCAUCAAUUCCACUUGUUGUUCAGAAUAUUUGGUCCUUGAGAACAAGGAAAUAGACGUCCGUCUCAGGGUUCCAGAAUAUGCCUCAGAGAAACUGGCGGAGGAAGAGGAGUGUGGGGGGAGCGCACCGCCCCCGGCAGCGCGAUCCCGGUGGGGUGCCAUCGCAGCUGCCCCCUCGCCUGUGCUGGGCGCCAUGCCCCCACAGACAGCGUGCCAUGCCCCAGGACGCAUGCCACGCCCCUGCGGGCAGCGCUCCACGCCUCCAGGACGCACACCAGCCACGCCUCCACCUGCUCCUCGCCCCCCAGUGCUGGAGCAUGAAGUUCCACCACUACUUGGACAUCUCCAAUAAUCUUCAUUGAAUGUGCUGCAGCAGACAUUUAAAAGCUUCUUCUUAUGUUAUCUUUUUAGCAUGAGAUCUUCUCUUUCGUAACAUUCAAACCUGGCGUCCCGAUCACAAUUGGGACAUAAAAAAACUGAAGCACUCCUUCACACAGGCCUUUGCUAGGCUGGGAUCUGGUUUUCCUAGAUGUGAUGAAGGACACAGGCCUAGAUGCCUUUAGGAGUAGAUUGGACAAUGUUUUGGAAGAUAAGUAUAUCAAUGGCUACUAGUAAUGAAUGUUGGAUAUAUUAUGUCCAGUGUCAGAGGAGAUAUAUCUCCAAGUCUUCAAAGCCCUUGACACCUUUGGUAAAGGCUGUUCUCCAAUUGGAGCACUCGCAGGGCAGUGUUCCCCAGUUGUUGGUAUUUAUACUACACUUUUUUUUUUAGAAGCUAAGAGGAAGGCACGCUUGGCAAACCCUCACUGUGUUCAGCUCCUGCCCAGAAACCUAUCUCUCCACUGUGGUAGGAUGUGUGGAUCCAGAAUUGGCCUCCACAGUCACUUACGGACUCACUGUUAAAACCGUGUUUAUGGAAGACAAUCUUACUCGGCUACAAGUGAUCGCCAAAGAAGAAGAAAAUCUCUAAGUACCACUUGUUGGGGAUCUUGAGCAAGAGAAGGCUAUUGGGUUCAUGUCCUGCUUCUGGGCUUUGCAUGCAAAUCUGUUUGGCCACUGCGGGAACAAAACGCUCGAUUACAUCCUUUGGUCUGAUCCCACAGAGCUCUUCUUAUGCACAGCACCAUUCCUUUGUGCAUGGCAAAGGAAACACCAGAAGCCCCACAGCAAGGGGGAAAGCCCACACAGUGAAACCCCCUCCAUCUUUUCAAGAAGGGGCAAUUCUGGCAUGGAGAGGAACUGCAAAAAUGAGCUCCUCCAACAUGGCCAGGUUCUUCUGGCAUCACCUUCGUGGUGUGGGAAGAAGCCGCGCUGUACCGCUGUAGGGUUCCCACACCGCAAAGGCAACAUGAGACAGGGCCCCAAGAGGCAGUUCUGCGCAAAAGGGUUUUCCUUUAGUGGUAAUCUGUGUUUUCCCUCCAUGUAAAACAUUUUGCAGCUUGUCUCGUUACAGCAUUUGCAAAAACACCAGCUGAAAGCAGCAUGAAUUAUUUAGGUUUUGCAGCAAAUCACCCUGAUCUUGGUGUUCAACUUCUUAAUGCACUCUAAGUGAGCCCUAGGAGGCAAAUCUUAGCAGACAAGGGGCAUAACGUAAAGCAAGCUUUAUUAGCCACAGAAAGCCACACUAUAGUGUUUAUUAAGUAUACCAUAGAUAGUAAAUCGCUUUCAUGGCGUGCUUGAGAAUCACCAUCGCAAUCAGCACUGUCCAGGUCCAAGCGCCUUUCUUUUAUGAAAAUAAAUUUAUGACUUUGUUGGUCUGAUUAAUAUAACGGACCUCCCCCACCCCCUUUUAGCAGAUAACUGAUUUUCAACAAAUCGCUACGUGUCAUAAAGAGUCUCAGUCUCUCAUGGUUUAAUUGUUUUCAGAAAAAGGAAAGUACAUUAGUGUUAUCAUCUGCCUGAUGCCUGUGCCAGCUCCAGAGAGUGUUCUGCCUCCAGUGAUCUGGGGGAGUAUAUGCCAAGAGCUUGCUGCUUGUCCAUUCAGUUGAAUAAAGAGUCAUUAAGCUUCAACCCUCCCCAAACAUUUUGUUCAUUUGAGAAACUGCUGCUUGGACUGAUCAGAAAGAGUAACCCCCCACCUCACCCCCAUCUUACAUCAUUAAAUGACAUUUGCAGGGAGGCUACAUUUAUGAUCCUAAUCAACUUUUAUCUUUGGCCAAUGAGAUUACUCUCUGACCAGACAGACAAUAACACUAACCUCCCCCCUCCCUCCAAGUCCUCAACGGGCAGACACUGGCUAAUAAAUAUUUAAUGGAUCAGAUAGAGCAAGUUGGGUAUUUGCAAAAUAUAGCCUCUCUCUCUCUCUCUCUCUCUCUGUUAGAGAAAUACAAAUGGCAAGUCCUAACGUUUUCUGAAUGAAGAGGAGGUACACAUCAUCUCUUGUGUGUGCUAUGCUCUGAUCUCGUUGAGCACAGUGGGAGCAAUGGAGCCAAUAGGAACCAAGAACAGAUGUGAUGACAUGGUGGGUACCACCUGUUUUAUUUUUAAAAUUUAAAAUAUAUGCACACAGAAGUGAAAAAUUUCAAGAAUAGAAAGCAGGUGGUAGAGGGUUGGGAUAAAGUAACUGAGGGGAGGAACAAAAAUGCAUUCCAAAUGCAUUCCAUCAAGCUUCACCCACUGGGCUAAACGGCAAGUGGCAAAAUAUUUAUUUGUUAGAUUUGUACACCACCCUCAUCCAUAGAUCUUGGGGUGGUUCACAACAUAAAAAUACAAGAUAAAAACACGAAAAACAAGGCAAAACCCCCACAAACCAAUAGCACCCUCUCCUACAUCCCUUAUCCAUGACUGAGAAAAUGGCAGUGCGCCAAAGCUAAUGCGCCAAACGCACACACAUAAAGAUCAGAUCUGAAUGAUCCAUUUGUGAUCUAAGGUUCCCACCUGGAAGUACUCUAAGCCAGUAAUGAUUUCAUUUCUUUCCUGACUUACAGUAUUCUUUGCUUCCCCUCCACAACACAGUCUUAUUUGGCAAUUAGGUGCAACUGUCACUUCAUCAAAAGUGUGAUUUUUCUACAACCCUGCUCCUCCCAAUCAUCUUAAUUCUGAUAGUUUAAUACAAAAUCUGAUAGCUAAUAUCGACUGACAGCGAAAAUAUAAUCCAUGUAACCACAUCACUUGCGAUAAUAUAUUAUUCAUUUAUUUUUGAUAUUGAUUGGGGGAAUAUUGUCUGUGCUGUAUGUUUAUGUAACUAAGGCUGGCAUGUGUAGCCCCAAUAAAAAUAUAUGGUGAAAAUAACUUAUUCAUAUAAACUUAUUUAAGAUGACAGUCUAUAACUUGAACUCUUCCCUUGCACGUAUUUAUUUACCAACGUAUACUCUGCUUUCCAACCAUAGCUUCUGAAAACAUUAUGAAAAGAAACGCAACACUAUAUCCAUAAAAGUGCAUCAGCUAUAACUCAAAUGUCACAGCAAUGAAACACAUACUUUAAACCACCAGCAAAACCCAUAAAAUCUACUCAAAAACCCAACCAGUAGCUUUUCCCUAGAAAAGAACUUUCAAAAGAGGAAGAUCUUAGCUAUCUGCGUAAAGGCUGAGUGCACACUACCGUUAAUCUGGUAAUUUACCUGUGAUGCUUAAGACAACAAGAGAGCCACUUUAGACAAUAGAUGGACAUGCAAAGAAGGGCAUCCCUGGUAGAUUAAACAUGUGCCUGAAGACAGCAUGUUUUAUGCUUCAACUAUAGAAGUCAUUUCAUUCACACUAAUCUCUAUAGUCUAGCAAUCUUAAUAGGCUCCACAGGACACUAGGGCUACUGACAGGGGGGGUACAGGGGGUCCACAGGUACCAGGUCCUGAACCAGCAGGGCCUCCUGACUCUUCACGUUCAUGUUUUAAAGAUGUAAGUCAAUUGGACAUCUACAAAGAAAGUUAGAAAGGAAAAUGUGGAGGCAGUUAUCUAAGACUUUAUCAGGCAGCAACAUUGCAACGGACAAUCAAUCACGGCCGCUAAGCAGACAGAAGGAGGAAUGCUGGCCAUCCUCACCUGGGACCCAUGUAAGCUUACUGCUUACAUACCACAGAGGUUAAGUGUGAAUGUCUUAGGUUUCAAUUCUCAUGCUUUUGAGUACCCCAACUCUUCUCUUAAACCAGUGUUCUUCAGCUUUAGGGCAGGUUAUCUGUUGUACAUAGGGAUCUGCUUCCCAUACAGCAUUAGGUUAUGUUAAGUUUGACUGUAUAGGCGCAAUCAAGACAUGGAUACAAUACAAAUCUAACCUAUUCUAUUUCCCUUGUGUGCUCAUCAGAACAAAGCCCUAUUGCAUAUAUAGAGUACACCUAAAUCCAUUUAUGUCACAUACCAGUACUACCUUGCUUAAAUCCUAAAGCUUUCAUGACCAGACAUUAUAGGCUGAAACAUUUUUGAGACAUGAAACCUAGUCCAAAGCUCCAUGGAAGCACCAGUGUUCACAAUGAUUUAUGUGUAGGAGCUCUCAUAGCAGCCAAUGAGAAAGCCUUUGCACACCUGGAAGCUCUGUGUACACAUCAGAGUGUCAGGUGCCACAGGGCUGAAGGAUGGAGCCUGGGUUGCUUACGUUUGCCUCGCAAGAGCUGCUGGCUAUUGUGGAUGGAGAGAGACUACAGACUGGGCUUCACCAAUUUGUUACCCUUCAGAUGUUUUGGAUUCCAACUCUCUUCACCCGCCAGCCAGUGCUCAGAUUGUUUGGGGCUGAAGGGAGUUGCAGUUCAAAACAUCUGGAAGGCACCAGCUUGGCAAAGGCUGGUGUAGGCAAUACCAGGCUAGAUGGUCUGACUUAGUAUAAGGCAGUUAUCCUAUGUGGUCCAAAAUACUUGGAUGACUUCAGGUUGGCAACAGCUGCUAGAGACAAUUCCAACACAGAGCCUCAUACAGUGGUGCCUCGCAAGACGAAAUUAAUUCGUUCCGCGAGUUUUUUCGUCUAGCGAAUUUUUCGUCUUGCGAAGCACGGUGUCGGAAAAGUUUUGGAAAAGCUUCAAAAAUCACCAAAAACCUCAAAAAAGGCUACCACACCGCGUUCUAUGAGUUGCUCCUCGAAGUCAAGUCGCAACUGUAUUAACGGUGUUAAGAAAAAGGAAACAAACUUGCAAAAAACGCAAGACGUUUUCGUCUUGCGAAGCAAGCCCAUAGGGAAAUUCGUCUUGCGAAGCAGCUCAAAAACCGCAAAACCCUUUCGUCUAGCGAGUUUUUCGUCUUGCGAGGCAUUCGUCUUGCGGGGCACCACUGUAAUACCAUCACAAUCUUCCCUGGCCUGGGAAUUUGGGUGAUAUGGGAGGGCAAAUCAGGUGCUAUUUGUUGUUGUUUAGUCAUUUAGUCGUGUCCGACUCUUCGUGACCCCAUGGACCAGAGCACGCCAGGCACUCUUGUCUUCCACUGCCUCCCACAGUUUGGUCAAACUCAUGCUGGUAGCUUCGAGAACACUGUCCAACGAUCUCGUCCUCUGUUGUCUCCUUCUCCUUGUGCCCUCCAUCUUUCCCAACAUCAGGGUCUUUUCCAGGGAGUCUUCUCUUCUCAUGAGGUGGCCAAAGUAUUGGAGCCUCAGCUUCAAGUUCUGUCCUUCCAGUGAGCACUCAGGGCUGGUUUCCUUAAGAAUGGAGAGGUUUGAUCUUCUUGCAGUCCAUGGGACUCUCUAUAAAAACUCCCAUGCUGCUGAUUUUCACAGCUUGGCCGAGGCCACCUUGUCAUUCGUCUUGGCAUCAAACCAGCCUCUUUGGCCUGCUUGCCUUCAUCCUAUGCAUUGCAGAGGAGAGUGACUGCAUAGCUAAAGACUUUUAAAGGAAGAAGCUAUUUCAACACCUCAAAAAGAGAAAAGAUCUAAUGAACAAUUUUAAUAAGCUGGAAGAGAAUUCAGGAGAACACCCUGAAUCCAGUGUAAUUUCCCACCAAGCCAGGGCCGUCUUUACCCGGGGGUCCAAGGGGUGCAGUGCACCCGGUCACUGAAUUCUGGGGGGCACCAAAUGUAUUCUGAGGGGUGCCAAAUGUAUACCUACUGUAUACCAGUCGCUCUCGAUCAGCGGCAGUGAAAAGCAAUGGAGCAAAAGUCCCCGCCCCCCUCUUCCGUCGCUCUGUUACUCCGUAGCGUCAAAUAUUCCCGACGAGUCAGGAAACAAAAGCAGUUAUUUCCACUGUGUUGUUGUUACAGGUGAGCGAUUUUCCUCCCCCUCAAAAAAGUCAACAACCUUGAGUUGGCCCCCCCAAAAAAAUCUGAGGGCGGCUAAACUAAAUUUGGGGGCACUGGGCGGAUCUUUGCACCCCAGGGGUGCAUGUGCUAAAAAUGGCCCUGUACCAAGCUACUAACAAUUCUCAAUACCACCUCUCCUAGUUUUCUUCACCAAAUGCAGCACCUCAAAGUAAAAGAGAGGGUAGCUCUGUUAACACUUUCUGAAAUAAACAAAAAUAAUAAUUUGUGCAUGACUUGCCCUUUAAAAAUAAUUAAAAAACAGUUUUGGCAAUGCAUGGUGAGUCCUGCAUGAAACCCUUAUUUGGGAAAGAUACAUUUUUCAGAUAUCAGGAUCUUUGCGAGCCAAAUAUGCUUGCAAUAUCAUUUGAUAUUCCUUAGCCUUCAAGUAGGAGCAUGGGGAGUUUUAAAUGCCGGGGUGGGAUAUUGAUUUUUCUGGUCCUGUGAAAUUGAAUAAGUUAAUUCAUAAGAUUAUCUCCGGGAGAGAGAGAAAAAAGUCAAAAGUAUUUCUUUUAAAUGCUGCCCUAAGAAAAAGAGCAUGGAAGUCAAACUACUCCUCUCUAUGAAGGCACAUUUAAACAAAAAUGGGAAAUUAUUUUUAAAUAACCUUUUAAAAUGGUAUUUCCUGCCACAUAAUUUUGUGGAAGCACCAUUUUUUAAAAUAAAAUAUGUUUCUAAUAGCAUAUUAUAUUUUACUCACCACGCUAGGGGAAGGCAGCACAAGGGUUCGGAGGGCCAUUUUCUUUUUCCUUUUCUUCCAGGAAAGGGAAUAAUUUAUUAACCCCACUGGUGCUGAUCUUUUAGAAAUCUGCUGACUGGUGUCUACUGCAAUAUAAUGCCAGACAAAUUAUAGAACUGAAUUAUAAAAUGAUGAGUCACAGUUUUGUGCCGCUAAAGCAAGAAGGAAAGGAAAGAGCAGAAUCUGCUUCAUCCUCAUGGAAUCAAAUGGUUGGAAUGCAAUGGAGUUUAGUCAUGCAAACUACCUAUUCAGCUUAAGAAAGAACGCCCACCAAAAACCUCCCCCCAAAAAACCCUCCUAAGAAUGACAACCAAAAGCCUCGUGAUGGAAGAGUAGCUCCAUCUCAAUGCCAUCCAAAGCUAUGCUUGGCACACACAUUUCAGCAGAUAGUUGGUAAGACAACCAGAUGGAAGAGACCUGUUGAUUAUUACAGCAGCCUGGCUGUGUACUGAGACAACACACAGCAAAGAUGAUCGCUAUCUCUUUUAAACAAGCAACCACUCUUUCAAAAAUCAUCCGCCAAAAUGUUUUACUAUGAGAUCAUCCUUCGUACGCCCUGUAAGUACUGCAAUCUAGGGCUGGGUGUGGUUCAUCUGGAGAGAGUUGGGUUUUAAAUGGAAAGGGUCCAAACAACGGGAUUUCUACCACAGAUCACAGGAGUGUAUGGGUUCCCAGGGUGAGAACUGUCUGCCUAGGAAGAACAGCAGUUACUGUGACAGAUUGCCAUGACUUGGUGGCGGUUGAGAGACUGAGCUAUGAAUCAAAAAGCGCCAGUUUUGAAUAUUGCUUCUGCGAUGAACUCACAAGGUGACAUUAGGCAACCUCUUUUCAGUCUCAGCCUGCAAUGUAAGCAUUUUGAGGAAGAGAGGAUAAUGUAUGUGAAACUAUUCAAAAGUACUGUUUCGACCCUUCAUGUCAUUUACAGAGCAGUUUUUUCUCUGAUAGCUACCUGUAAAAGGGAAAGGGACCCCUGACCGUUAGGUCCAGUCACGGACGACUGUGGGGUUGCGGCGCUCAUCUUGCUUUACUGGCCAAGGGAGCUGGAGUACAGCUUCCAGGUCAUGUGACUAGCAUGACUAAGCCGCUUCUGGCGAACCAGAGCAGCGCACGGAAACACUGUUUACCUUUCCACCGGAGUGGUGCCUAUUUAUCUACUUGCACUUUGACAUGCUUUCGAACUGCUAGGUUGGCAGGAGCUGGGACCGAGCAACGGGAGCUCACCCCGUCGUGGGGAUUCAAACCACCAACCUUCUGAUCGGCAAGCCCCAGGCUCUGUGGUUUAACCCACAGCACCACCCGCAUCCACAACUACCUGUAGGAGGUCUCAAAUCCGGUUUCCCAUGCUUGUGUGGCCCAGACUUUCAAUUGCUAGAGCAUUAUUGGUUUUGCUGCCAGCUUGGCUUGCUGGAAACAUCCUUCCUGACCUUACAAUGGUCUUUUUCUGUCAGUUAUGAAGUCAAGUAUUAUGCUGGUGCCUCCUAUUAAUGUGGAUUUGUCUAGGACCAAGUUAAUUUUAGCCUGCCCUUGUGUUCAGGAAGGUUCUGUUCAGGCUGUUCCAUAGGAGGUGAACGAGGUCUCUUUGUGGCUGUAUGCAUCUCUAGCAGCCCCCCAUGGGUGCAAUGCCUAUGUGUUUAAGACAAGCAGGAGUUCAGUUGGCCCAGAGGAAUAUUUUCUGUGGGAUUAACCUCAGUACAAUGCCUAGCUUAAUACUAUGGAGGACCUUUCCACAUUGUGUUAGGUGGCUUUUGAAUAUUUUGUUCCACUUAUGCCUAACUGGAUAUAGAUCAGGGCUUGGUGUGUUACUUGCUAUUGUGUAUGCACACUUACUGAGUUUUCUCGUAAAGAUGAAGGCAUGUGUUGCUUACAGGUGACCUGGUGUGCCUUUUUUAAAGUCAUCCAAGUUGGUGGUCAUCACUUCGUCUUGUGGAAGCAAAUUCUGUAAUUUAACUACACACUGUGCGAAGAAGAAUUUUCUUUCAUAUGUCCUGAUUCUUCCAAUGUUCCAAUGUUCAGUCCCCAGGUGGUAUUAUUGGAGAGGGAGAAGAAAUUCCCCCAGUCCACUUUCACCACAGUGUGCACCAUUUAUACACCUCCAUGAUUUCUCUUCUUACUCUCUUUUUCUUUAAAUUGAAAAGCCCCAAUUUUUGCAGCCUUUCCUCUUAGGGAAGUUGCUCCAUCCCUUUGCAUAAAUAUGUACAGUGGUACCUCAGAUUACAGACACCUCAGGUUACGGACUCCAUUAACCCGGAAGUAGUACCUCAGGUUAAUAACUUUACCUCAGGAUGAGAACAGAAAUCGUGCGGCGGCAGUGGGAGGCCCCAUUAGCUAAAGUGGUACCUCAGGUUAAGAACGGUUUCAGGUUAAGAACAGACCUCCGGAACGAAUUAAGUUUGUAACCGGAGAUACCACUGUAUAUAACAUAUAUGCAGGUAUAGUGCAAAAUAUAUUUUUAAAAAAAAUUCUGAGAAAAAAUGAUAAAAGAAAAAUACUCCUCCGUAAAGCAAUGACCAAGUAAGUCACAUAACAGCUUUUAGAUAUGAGCAAGAAGAGGUGAACUUUGUUUACACUAUGUCUCCAGAUGUUUCAUGUAAGGACAGUGCGCAACACAGCUGGGAUGAUGAGCUCUAAAUCCUGGGAAGACGUACGAUUUUAAACCCAAACUUCAACUGGGGGGGGGAAAGAACAGCCCAUAAUGGUGAGAGAUAACAGGUGGAAGCCUUGCUUUGCCAUUGUGCCUGGAGGGCAAAAUCUGGCAGGCAGAAGUCGCUUCAGAACAAAAGCCACGGCAUCUGCUGUUCACUGUACUUCUUCAGUCCAUCCCUAUUUAUUCAGCAUCACUGACAACACUCUCACUGCAGUAUUUUAAGCUGGUUUUACUUUUUUAAAAAAACCAAACCCUUAUGACAUGACCAUCAGUUCUGGGAAAACAGUGAUUUAAAGGAUGGUUUGGGCCUAAAGCUGGGUCCAAAGUCCUGUUUCUGAUUCAUAACAAUAACUAACUAAUAAGACAUUGAUGCAGUCUUUACAGGCUUACAACUUUCCUGGAAGGUGGGUCAGUAUUAUUACAGUGGUACCUUGGUUCUCAAACUUAAUCUGUUCUGGAAGACCGUUCCAAAACCAAAGCGUUCCAAAACCAAAGUGCGCUUUUCAAUAGAAAGUAAUGCAAAACGGAUUAAUCCGUUCCAGACUUUUAAAAACAACCCCUAAAACAGCAAUUUAACAUGAAUUUUACUAUCUAACAAGACCACUGAUCCAUAAAAUGAAAGCAAUAAACAAUGUACUGUACUAUAAAAUAAAUAAGACAGUAUUGUAGAUGAUGAAAAUUAAAAUUAUUUUUCUUUCUUACCUGCACUGAUGAUAGUCAUUGUUUGGAUGGGGGGCUUUUAUCCAUUUCCACAUUCACACAAUCAAUUAAUCAGUAGCUGAUCUGGGUUCCACACAGUCACAAAAACAAAUUAACCGAAAAAGCCUCAAAAACAAAAACGCAAAAUAAAUAGCAAAAACAAAAGCACAAAAUACAGUGGUACCUUGAUUCUUGAACUUAAUCUAUUCUGGAAGUCCGUUUGACUUCUGAAAUGUUCGGAAAACAAGGCGUGGCUUCUGAUUGGUGCAGGCGCCCCCGAAAUAUAGCCGACAGCCGCAUCGGAUGCUCGGCUUCUGAAAAAUGUUCGGAAACCAGAACACUUCCUUCCAGGUUUUGAGUGUUUGGGAACCAAAGCAUUUGAGAACCAAGGUGUUUGAGAACCAAGGUACCACUGUAUCUGCAAAUUGCAGAGAGGGGGCAGACGCAGAGUGGCUUCCUUAGUACUACCUAGUGAGUUGUAGGCAGAGAAAAUAUUUAAACUGGGGACUAUUCCUGAUUUACGGACGCGGGUGGCACUGUGGUCUAAACCACAGAGCCUAGGGCUUGCCAAUCAGAAGGUCGGUGGUUCGAAUCCCUGCAGGUGAGCUCCCGUUGUCCGGUCCCUGCUCCUGCCCACCUAGCAGUUUGAAAGCACAUCAAAGUGCAAGUAGAUAAAUAGGUACCACUCUGGCGGGAAAGUAAACGGUGUUUCUGUGUGCUGCUCUAGUUCGCCAGAAGCGGCUUAGUCAUGCUGGCCACAUGACCCGGAAAAACUGUCUGCAGGCAAAUGCCGGCUCCCUUGGCCAGUAAAGCAAGAUGAGCGUUGCAACCCCAGAGUCGUUUGCGACUGGACUUAACUCUCAGGGGUCCUUUACCUUUACCUUUUUAUUCCUGAUUUGGAGCCAAGUCACUUGGUCACUUCAUCAGCUGUACGAAUUUCGUAUCAAGGCAGGAAAUCCGCGAAAGGCAUUUCCCUCUUUCCCCCCCGUCAUGGUUCUUCACAGUAGGGAAAUAUUAUAGAAACAAUUCUAAACUAAGCCUGCUGGGUCUUCUUAGAUUAAUGGCAGGGAAUCAGCAGCUCAGCAGAUGCAAUGGUUCCACUCCUGCUCUCUGGACAACCCCUCCAGGAAUUGCUUCCAGGAAUUGUGUGUGUAUGAGAGUGGGCUUGCAUUCAGACAUGGGGUUUAUUGCGUUAGCUUUCCUUGCAUUCGUUACACUGGCUUCUGUGCUGAUUUUGAACAGCUCUUUUACAUUGCAGUAUUUGCUGAAUUAUGGGAUGGUGGCUUUUUGGUUGACACCCACCACGUUGUGCUAAUUUCUAAAUGGCAAGAGAGGACUGUGUGCCAGGAAACAGCCCCCGAUUUAAUCAUGUGAAAUUGCAACGCAAAAAUCCCACAAUUUUCCUGAGGGUUGCCACCCCCAAGGAAACAAUUAACACAGAAAUGAGUGUUAAACCACUGCUAGAUUCCCCUAGGUUUCCACUAGUGGCUUUUACAUUGUGUGAAAGAUUAACAGGUAAGAAAAUGUCAGGAAGAUGGAGUGAUGUGCUGCCUGAAUACACCCUAAGUGAAAGUGAGGAAGAUCUAUGCAACACUGCCACCUGCUUCUGGCUCCAAACAAAUUACCCGUAAGGUAAUUCAACCCUCAAAUAGAAGGUUGUUGCCCUAGAUCAGGCAUGUCCAACAGGUACCGUAGAUUGUGAUCUACUGGUAGAUCACAGGGUGUUCAUGGUAGAUACUGGUUGACCUCUGACUCCUCAGCGAUCUCCUUACAAAAACAAAAAGAAAACACCCCAAACACCCCAACUUUGGCUUCCUAAAAAAAGCUCCAUGACUUUGGGUAGAUCACUGCCAGAUUUUUUUAAUACUUUGAGUAGAUCGAAGUCUAUUGAGAGUUGGACAUCCCUGCCCUAGAUAUUGGGUUGGGGGGUUGGGGAAAGAGGAGAGGAAACAUGGAGCUGGUGCUGAAUAGUCUACUUCCAACCCAUACUGUAGUGGGCCACCUUCAGUCACAGAGAAUUCAGACUUCUCUGACUACUUUGGCUAGUAAUGCUCUUGCACCAUUGUAGUCCAGGAGGAAGCAUGAUAGGGAUGGCAGCAAUGUUCCUUUUCCAAGAGAGCCAUUCCAUGCCCCCUUCUCUACAUGCAGAGCAAGCAGGAUUGCAGUUUUAGUCUUUUUUCUAAUUACCUUUGUUUCAUUAUCAAUGACCCACUUUCACCAUACUGGAUACAGGCAGCAGGAGAGGGAGGGAAUAUGUGGACUGUGUCCGUGGCACUGUCCGAAUCACAUUCUGAAUCGGGGCCAGCCCACCCUUCUUCCCAAUGUAGAUCUUUCUUACCCCCGUGUUUGUGAUGUAGAGCUUCGCCCAACCCCUUCUCUGGCGGAAGGUGGGCACCAUUUUGUGGUUUGCCUCAGAGGCCAAAAUGCCUUGGGCCAGCCCUGCUAUGGAUCACAUUCAUGAUCUUCUUGAACAUCUGCCUUUUGUACUUCUGAAUUUGUUAAACAGAUGUGCCGCUCUUUGGAUUCAGAAUGGAAAGUAAAGGCCAAGUUGACGCCUUUCCCUUUCUACCCAAGCAGUUGUAGUCGACUAAGUUUUACUCAAAUUAAACCCACUGAAAUUAAUGGACCUAACUUCCUCAUGGUUGUUAAUUUCAAAGGGGCUGCUCUGAGGAAUGCUUGGUGUAGUGUUUCAGCCUAUGGAGUCAAAAUAUUUCUUUUUUUAAAUAUCAUUUUUAUUAAAUCUUAAUAUUCCAAAACAUUUAUUGUCAUAUACAUUUUUAACGCAAAGUUCCUCUUGACUUCCCAUCCCUCCUUUCCCGAUGUUUUUCUUCUUUUUAUUAGCUGUUUUACAACACAUUAGCUGUUUUUCUUAUCUAAACUUCACUCUCAUUAGUUCUUUCAAUAACCCACUGCUUAUAUCUCAAAUCCUGCCCACGACUCCACGUAUGGGCGAUACUUUGACAGAUAAUCCGUCCAUGGUCUCCAUUCCUCCUUGAACACUUUGUCGUUAUGUCCUCUUAAUUUAGCAAUUAAUUUUGCCAUUUCAGCAUAGUCCAUCAGUUUCAUAAGCCAUUCCUCCUUCCUUGGUAAUCCUUCCUUCUUCCACCUCUGUGCAUAUAAAGUUCUAGCUGCUGUUGUCGCCUACAUAAAUAAGUUAGCCAGCUUUUUCAGGACUUGUGUCCCCAUUAUUCCUACCAAAAAGGUUUCAGGGGUUUUUUUUGUUUUGUUUUGUUUUUGUUUAGGAAUUAUCAGUUUAAACAUCCUUUUCAACUCAUUAGAUAUCAUUUCCCAAAACCCUUUCGCCUUUUCACAUGUGAUAAAAUGACCCUUCUUCCCUUUGGCAUUUCCAGUAGGUGAGUCAAAAGAUUUCAUGCCCAAGAACUGGUUUGUUAAAAAGGUCUUGUUACUUCCUACAUUAACCAGACCUGAUGAUUUCCUCAGUGUCAGUUAGCUAAUAUGUUUCUUGCUUGGGUUGAGCUACAAUUUAAGCCAGGGUCCAGUCUGAGCUGAAAAUACAGUGGUGCCCCGCAAGACGAAUGCCUCGCAAGAUGAAAAACCCGCUAGACGAAAGGGUUUUCCGUUUUUCAAUGCGCUUCGCAGGACGAAUUUCCCUAUGGGCUUGCUUCGCAAGACGAAAAUGUCUUGCAAGUCUUGAGAUUUUUUUCGCUUUCCCCCCCUUUUUCUAAGCCGCUAAGCCGCUAAUAGCCUUUUAGCCGCUAAGCCGCUAAGCCUUUAAUAGCCGCUAAACCGCUAAUAGCGCUAAUCCGCUAAGCCGCUAAUAGGGUUGCUUCGCAAGACGAAAAAACCGCUAGACGAAGAGACUCGCGGAACGGAUUAAUUUCGUCUUGCGAGGCACCACUGUAUCUCUGGAAGCAUAUACUUCUGGGGAGGGCCUACAUUCUUAAUAUGGCCCCACCCGGCCUUCAUCGUACCCAUUGGAAUGCAAUUCUGAUGCAGAGAGAUCUUUUCAAUAAGAAAAAGGAUGGAUGGGGUGGCCAUUUUGUUGUGGGGUUAUCCAGAAGGAGUCUGCAUUAUACAUACAGCUGCUUAUAUGAGCUAUAAAGGAUAAUUUUCUUGUAUUAAUGUCAUAAAUUUUGUAGAGCCAGCAAGGCUUCCCACUGCAUAAUAGCUUAAUUUUUCAUUCUAAUAAUAACUGGCUGCCAGCAGAAAUGAAUGGGUGAAAAAACAAACAUUUCUGUUCUGUGACAUGAUCUAUGACAGAUGUACAGUUUUUGGAGGCCCUCCGGCAGGGUAUUCCAAUCCUCCCCCCUCUUUACCCAAUGGCAAGAAAGAGAAUUAGCACCAAGACAAGAGAGUGAACUGUAAAGGAACUCCAAGAAAAAUGACUCCCUCCAUCUUCCACUUAAAACUGUAAUUGGCAAUCAGCCCAAUUUAAAGCUGCGCUGAAACACCCCGGAUGUUUCAAAAGUGCUUUAAGACUAUGAGUAUUGUGUCUACAUUAUUUAAACCAAACAAUGAAAACAUCUUCCUAAUACUCAUAAAUGCCCGUAUUUUUAUAUAGGUAAGGGCAGGGAGAAGUCAAUGUCUCCUGUAAGAACCAAUUUUCCCGGACUUUCUGAAAGCAGCCAAGAUAGCUAGCAUCCAGGAGUGUGUAUGGAAUACUUUUGGAGCAGGCCAG
This is a non-coding RNA of Podarcis lilfordi (Lilford's wall lizard), 24983 nucleotides long. NCBI's taxonomy places the organism in Eukaryota, Metazoa, Chordata, Lepidosauria, Squamata, Lacertidae. The record is from the annotation of a GenBank genome assembly.